RNAcentral lists this ribosomal RNA (177 nucleotides) under uncultured Actinomycetes bacterium. RNAcentral describes it as "uncultured actinobacterium partial 16S ribosomal RNA". It matches the Rfam family "Bacterial small subunit ribosomal RNA", at positions 335 to 524 of the family's 1533-position model. The record is from RNAcentral. Lineage: Bacteria; Bacillati; Actinomycetota; Actinomycetes.
ACUCCUACGGGAGGCAGCAGUGGGGAAUAUUGCACAAUGGGCGGAAGCCUGAUGCAGCGACGCCGCGUGAGGGAUGACGGCCUUCGGGUUGUAAACCUCUUUCAGUAGGGAAGAAGCGUAAGUGACGGUACCUGCAGAAGAAGCGCCGGCUAACUACGUGCCAGCAGCCGCGGUAAU